UGGGGAAUAUUGCACAAUGGGCGCAAGCCUGAUGCAGCCAUGCCGCGUGUGUGAAGAAGGCCUUCGGGUUGUAAAGCACUUUCAGCGGGGAGGAAGGCGGUGAGGUUAAUAACCUCACCGAUUGACGUUACCCGCAGAAGAAGCACCGGCUAACUCCGUGCCAGCAGCCGCGGUAAUACGGAGGGUGCAAGCGUUAAUCGGAAUUACUGGGCGUAAAGCGCACGCAGGCGGUCUGUCAAGUCGGAUGUGAAAUCCCCGGGCUCAACCUGGGAACUGCAUUCGAAACUGGCAGGCUAGAGUCGUGUAGAGGGGGGUAGAAUUCCAGGUGUAGCGGUGAAAUGCGGAGAGAUCUGGAGGAAUACCGGUGGCGAAGGCGGCCCCCUGGACAAAGACUGACGCUCAGGUGCGAAAGCGUGGGGAGCAAACAGG
RNAcentral lists this ribosomal RNA (429 nucleotides) under Chloroflexota bacterium. RNAcentral describes it as "Chloroflexi bacterium partial 16S ribosomal RNA". It matches the Rfam family "Bacterial small subunit ribosomal RNA", at positions 355 to 776 of the family's 1533-position model. The record is from RNAcentral. Lineage: Bacteria; Bacillati; Chloroflexota.